Small nuclear RNA from Mesocricetus auratus (golden hamster), 100 nucleotides. NCBI's taxonomy places the organism in Eukaryota, Metazoa, Chordata, Mammalia, Rodentia, Cricetidae. The record is from Ensembl.
GUGUUCACUUUGGCAGCACAUAACUGGAAAAAUACAGAGAAGAUUAGCAUGGCCCCUGCACAAGGAUGACACAUAAAUUCAGGAAGUGUUUCAUGUUUUU